Molecule: non-coding RNA, 228 nt
Organism: Pelobates cultripes (western spadefoot toad)
Lineage: Eukaryota; Metazoa; Chordata; Amphibia; Anura; Pelobatidae
Source: the annotation of a GenBank genome assembly
UUAAAAAUAAAUAAUUAAUCAAUAAUAAAAGAUAGGUCACUGAAAAAAGACAGAGUGAAAUAAAAUAAUAAUAAAAGCAAAAAUAGGAUAUAAAAUAGUCAACCAGAGCGUAACAAAUAACUGGAAGGUGCAAUUACAAACUAUCCCUGAUUUGAUACAGGGUAGCAGAUAGUUGCGCCAGAAUGCUCUACUUUAUACUAAACAACGAUGCAAGUAACAAUAUGGCAC